Molecule: ribosomal RNA, 525 nt
Filed under: Triticum aestivum (bread wheat)
Lineage: Eukaryota; Viridiplantae; Streptophyta; Magnoliopsida; Poales; Poaceae
Description: partial small subunit ribosomal RNA
Source: RNAcentral
AUGAAGAUCACCCUCCUUGCCGUGGCGGCGGUCCUGCUAGGCACCGCGUCGGCGGCGACCUACGGGGUCGGCGAGCCGAGCGGCGUGUGGGGCAUCAACACCGACUACGCCAGGUGGGUGGCCGACAAGAAGUUCCAGCCGGGCGAUGAGAUCGUCUUCAAGUACUCGCCCACGGCGCACGACGUGGUCGAGGUCAGCAAGGCCGGCUACGACUCCUGCAGCACCGCCAACGCCAUCAACACCUUCAGCUCCGGCAAUGAUGUCGUCGCCCUCAACGCCACCGGCACCCGCUACUUCAUCUGCGGCUUCCCUGACCACUGCGUCCCGCGCGCCCCCCUCACCAUGAAGAUCGUGAUCGACGUCGUGUCGGGCUCCUCCUCCUCCUCACCGGCGUCACCCAUGCCAGCCGCAGGUCCUGGCGCGAGCAGCUCUCCCCCAGUGCCGCCCUCCUCCGCCGCUACCUCCGUAGGGGCCACGGCAGGAUUUGGCCUCGUCGCCCUACUGGCGGCAGGUCUCAUGGCCUGA